UACGGAGGGUGCAAGCGUUAAUCGGAAUUACUGGGCGUAAAGCGCGCGUAGGCGGCGUGAUAAGCCGGAUGUGAAAGCCCCGGGCUCAACCUGGGAACGGCAUUCGAAACUGUCAGGCUAGAGUACAGGAGAGGAAGGUAGAAUUCCCCGUGUAGCGGUGAAAUGCGUAGAGAUCGGGAGGAAUACCAGUGGCGAAGGCGGCCUUCUGGACUGACACUGACGCUGAGGUGCGAAAGCGUGGGUAGCAAACAGG
Molecule: unclassified non-coding RNA, 253 nt
Filed under: uncultured Halomonadaceae bacterium
Lineage: Bacteria; Pseudomonadati; Pseudomonadota; Gammaproteobacteria; Oceanospirillales; Halomonadaceae
Description: contains 16S-23S intergenic spacer region
Rfam family: Bacterial small subunit ribosomal RNA
Source: RNAcentral